GUCAAUUCAUUUGAGUUUUAACCUUGCGGUCGUACUCCCCAGGCGGUGUGUUUAUCGGUUUCCUGCGACACUGAAAAUAAAUUUCCAACGUCUAACACACAUCGUUUACGGCAUGGACUACGAGGGUAUCUAAUCCUCUUCGCUACCCAUGCUUUCGUUCCUCAGUGUCAGUAAUGAUCCAGAAAGCUGCCUUCGCAAUUGGUAUUCUUUCUAAUAUCUACGAAUUUCACCUCUACACUAGAAAUUCUGCUUUCCUCUAUCAUACUCUAGCUGAAAAGUUUUGAUGGCAGUUCCAGAGUUAAGCUCUGGGAUUUCACCACCAACUUUUUCAACCACCUACGAACUCUUUAAGCCCAGUAAUUCCGAACUACGCUAGGUCCCUUCGUAUUACCGCGGCUGCUGGCACGAAGUUAGCCGGACCUUCUUAUUCGGGUACAGUCAUUUUCUUCCCCGACGAAAGAGCUUUACAACCCAAAGGCCUUCUUCACUCACGCGGCAUCGCUGCAUCAGAGUUUCCUCCAUUGUGCAAGAUUCCCCACUGCUGCCUCCCGUAGGAGUUUGGGCCGUGUCUCAGUCCCAAUGUGGCUGAUCAUCCUCUCAAAUCAGCUAUUGAUCAUAGUCUUGGUAGGCCAUUACCCUACCAACAAACUAAUCAAGUGCGGGCUCAUCCAAUGGUGCAUAAAGCUUUCUCCGUAAAGACUUAUCCGGUAUUAGCACAAGUUUCCUCGUGUUAUUCCAGGCCAAAGGGUAGAUACCCACAUGUUACUCACCCGUCUGCCACUAAGUAUUGCUACUUCGUUCGACUUGCAUGUGUUAGGCGUGCCGCCAGCGUACGUUCUGAGCCAGGAUCAAACUCU
Molecule: ribosomal RNA, 857 nt
Filed under: uncultured bacterium
Lineage: Bacteria
Description: partial 16S ribosomal RNA
Source: RNAcentral